RNAcentral lists this ribosomal RNA (406 nucleotides) under uncultured bacterium. RNAcentral describes it as "partial 16S ribosomal RNA". It matches the Rfam family "Bacterial small subunit ribosomal RNA", at positions 30 to 526 of the family's 1533-position model. The record is from RNAcentral.
AUUGAACGCUGGCGGCAGGCCUAACACAUGCAAGUCGAACGAGUGGCGGACGGGUGAGUAAUGUCUGGGAAACUGCCUGAUGGAGGGGGAUAACUACUGGAAACGGUAGCUAAUACCGCAUACCAUCAGAUGUGCCCCGAUGGGAUUAGCUAGUUGGUGAGGUAACGGCUCACCAAGGCGACGAUCCCUAGCUGUUCUGAGAGGAGAAACAGCCAACAGGGAACUGGCAAACGGUCCAGAUGCCUACGGGAGGCAGCAGUGGGGAAUAUUGCACAAGGGGCGAAAGCCGGAGGAAGCCAUGCCGCGUGUAUGAAGAAGGCCUUCGGGUUGUAAAGUACUUUCAGCGGGGAGGCGUUACCCGCAGAAGAAGCACCGGCUAACUCCGUGCCAGCCGCCGCGGUAAUUC